CGUCCAGACUCCUACGGGAGGCAGCAGUGGGGGAUAUUGCACAAUGGGGGGAACCCUGAUGCAGCGACGCCGCGUGGGUGAAGAAGCGCCUCGGCGCGUAAAGCCCUGUCAGCAGGGAAGAAAAUGACGGUACCUGAAGAAGAAGCCCCGGCUAACUACGUGCCAGCAGCCGCGGUAAUACGUAGGUGGCAAGCGUUGUCCGGAUUUACUGGGUGUAGAGGGCGUGUAGCCGGGCCGGCAAGUCAGAUGUGAAAGCCCAAGGCUCAACCUUGGAACUGCAUUUGAAACUGUUGGUCUUGAGUAUCGGAGAGGCAGGCGGAAUUCCUAGUGUAGCGGUGAAAUGCGUAGAUAUUAGGAGGAACACCAGUGGCGAAGGCGGCCUGCUGGACGACAACUGACGGUGAGGCGCGAAAGCGUGGGGAGCAAACAGGAUUAGAUACCCCAGUAG
RNAcentral lists this ribosomal RNA (448 nucleotides) under uncultured bacterium. RNAcentral describes it as "partial 16S ribosomal RNA". It matches the Rfam family "Bacterial small subunit ribosomal RNA", at positions 328 to 793 of the family's 1533-position model. The record is from RNAcentral.